GAUGAAGAACGUAGCGAAAUGCGAUACUUGGUGUGAAUUGCAGAAUCCUGUGAACCAUCGAGUCUUUGAACGCAAGUUGCGCCCGAAGCCAUUAGGCCGAGGGCACGCCUGCCUGGGUGUCACACGUCGUUGCCCCCCCAUCUACUCCUUCGGGAUUGCGGGGGGCGGAUGAUGGCCUCCCGUGCGCCUCGUCGCGCGGUUGGCAUAAAUGCCAAGUCCUCGGCGACGCACGCCACGACAAUCGGUGGUUGCGAAACCUCGGUUGCCCGUCGUGUGCGGUCGUCGCGCAUCGAGGGCUCGAAAAAAUUGCCGGGCUCCGGCUCGGCUUUCAACGCGACCCCAGGUCAGGCGGGGUUACCCGCUGAAUUUAAGCAUAUCAAUAAGCGGAGGA
RNAcentral lists this unclassified non-coding RNA (391 nucleotides) under soil metagenome. Its description in RNAcentral is "partial contains 5.8S ribosomal RNA, internal transcribed spacer 2, and large subunit ribosomal RNA". The stretch from base 1 to 122 matches the Rfam family "5.8S ribosomal RNA", at positions 35 to 154 of the family's 154-position model. The record is from RNAcentral.